RNAcentral lists this long non-coding RNA (267 nucleotides) under Gossypium raimondii (Peruvian cotton). RNAcentral describes it as "long non-coding RNA (GRAI_LNC005363)". The record is from RNAcentral. Lineage: Eukaryota; Viridiplantae; Streptophyta; Magnoliopsida; Malvales; Malvaceae.
UCUUUAACAACUAAAACUAAAGAAAGCUGGAAUAACAUUAAGUAAAGAUUAAAGAGUGAUUCCAAGAAAGUUUAAAGUUUUUAACAUGUAAAUAAAACUAAACUACAACAAAAACUAACUUAACUAAUAACUAUGAAAUUUACUCUAAAAAGAAAAGAGAAAAUCUAAACUAAAAAUGAAAAUAAAAAGAAAAGAAAAGAAACCCUAAUCCUAACCUAAAACUAAGGAAAAAGAUGAUAGAAACAAAAAUGAAAAGCUUCUCUCUUU